GGCGGGCCUCCCCGCAUUGUGGUGUAGUGAACCUGGUCAGGUCCGGAAGGAAGCAGCCACAGCUAUUUUCUGCAAGUGCCGGGGGCAAGGCUCGCCUCC
Molecule: signal recognition particle RNA, 99 nt
Filed under: Betaproteobacteria bacterium
Lineage: Bacteria; Pseudomonadati; Pseudomonadota; Betaproteobacteria
Description: signal recognition particle sRNA small type
Rfam family: Bacterial small signal recognition particle RNA
About the family: The signal recognition particle (SRP) is a universally conserved ribonucleoprotein involved in the co-translational targeting of proteins to membranes. Archaeal SRP consists of a 7S RNA and homologues of the eukaryotic SRP19 and SRP54 proteins.
Source: RNAcentral